This 137-nucleotide small nuclear RNA is filed under the name Cavia porcellus (domestic guinea pig). RNAcentral describes it as "U1 spliceosomal RNA (ENSCPOG00000018305.2)". It matches the Rfam family "U1 spliceosomal RNA", at positions 1 to 139 of the family's 166-position model. Rfam says of the family: U1 is a small nuclear RNA (snRNA) component of the spliceosome (involved in pre-mRNA splicing). Its 5' end forms complementary base pairs with the 5' splice junction, thus defining the 5' donor site of an intron. There are significant differences in sequence and secondary structure between metazoan and yeast U1 snRNAs, the latter being much longer (568 nucleotides as compared to 164 nucleotides in human). The record is from RNAcentral. Lineage: Eukaryota; Metazoa; Chordata; Mammalia; Rodentia; Caviidae.
GUACCUAUCUGGCAGUGGAGAUACCAUGACCAAGAAUGUAGUUUUCCCAGGAUAAGGCUUAUCCAUGGCAGUCCAGAUGUGCUAACCCCUAAGAUUUCCCAAAUGUAGGAAACUUGACUGUAUAAUUUGUGGUAUGC